This 433-nucleotide ribosomal RNA is filed under the name uncultured bacterium. RNAcentral describes it as "partial 16S ribosomal RNA". It matches the Rfam family "Bacterial small subunit ribosomal RNA", at positions 29 to 507 of the family's 1533-position model. The record is from RNAcentral.
AACGAACGCUGGCGGCAGGCCUAACACAUGCAAGUCGAGCGAGGACUUCGGUCCUAGCGGCGGACGGGUGAGUAACGCGUGGGAACGUGCCCUUUGCUUCGGAAUAGCCCUGGGAAACUGGGAGUAAUACCGGAUGAGCCCUUUGGGGGAAAGAUUUAUCGGCGAAGGAUCGGCCCGCGUUGGAUUAGGUAGUUGGUGGGGUAAUGGCCUACCAAGCCGACGAUCCAUAGCUGGUUUGAGAGGAUGUUCAGCCACACUGGGACUGAGACACGGCCCAGACUCCUACGGGAGGCAGCAGUGGGGAAUCUUAGACAAUGGGGGAAACCCUGAUCUAGCCAUGCCGCGUGAGCGAUGAAGGCCUUAGGGUUGUAAAGCUCUUUCAGCUGGGAAGAUAAUGACGGUACCAGCAGAAGAAGCCCCGGCUAACUCCGUG